UGUAAGGUGGUUGAGAUUUAAACAAUAAACUGUAAAUUUAUAUACGGGUGAUACCCCCUUACAU
RNAcentral lists this transfer RNA (64 nucleotides) under Duplodicodrilus schmardae. RNAcentral's name for it is "tRNA-Tyr". The record is from RNAcentral. Lineage: Eukaryota; Metazoa; Annelida; Clitellata; Crassiclitellata; Megascolecidae.